GACGAACGCUGGCGGCGUGCUUAACACAUGCAAGUCGAACGGCAAGGCCCUGCUUUUUUGCUGUGCUCGGGUGGCGAACGCGUGCGUAACACGUGAGUAACCUGCCCUUCUCUUUGGUAUAACUUCAGGAAACUAGGGCUAAUACCUGAUCGGAGCUCCUGCUGCAUGGUGGGCGUUGGAACUUUUCGGCGGUUGGGGAUGGACUCGCGGCUUAUCAGCUUGUUGGUGGGGUAGUGGCUUACCAAGGGUUUGACGGGUAGCCGGCAUGUGAGGGUGACCGGGGACAAGGGGACUGAGAGACGGAGCAGAGGCGAACGGGAGGCAACAGGGGGGAGUAUGGCACAAUGGGAGGAAGUCUGAGGAAGAAACGCUGCGGGCGGGAAGACGGCUUGUGGGGAGAAAAAAGCUGUAGGCUGUGACGAAGCGGGAGUGACGGUAAUGGAUAAAGAAGCACCGGCUAACUACGUG
RNAcentral lists this ribosomal RNA (468 nucleotides) under uncultured bacterium. RNAcentral's name for it is "partial 16S ribosomal RNA". It matches the Rfam family "Bacterial small subunit ribosomal RNA", at positions 28 to 507 of the family's 1533-position model. The record is from RNAcentral.